UAGUGGAAAAGCUGUCACAGGCAAAUCUAAAAUACCGAGAGCGCCGAGCUACUGACAUUGCUAAAGAUGAUCAUGAAGACAUUUAUCCAGCCUCUCCUGCUUUCCCUUCGCCCAGCCCUUCAGAAGCUUAUGUCAAGUGUGACAGGCUAGGUGAUGAAUGGGUAGAAAGUUGACAAGUGGCGACAGGCGGCUGAGUAAGUGAAAUCCUCCAUCGUUAAUUCUUGUGAUUUUUACCUUUCUGACACAAUGAACUUAUAUUAGGAUGUGUGACUAAAUAAACCAGAGUAAGAACAGCCAUUCACCAAGAAAGAGAGUCCAGAGCAGAAAGCCACACUCUCAUUUUUCUCAAGCUUCUUGAUUGCCAGAUUUCUGGAACACCAUCUGUAAUCAAGGACGCAUUAUUUAGAGUUAAGUGGGAUGAUUAGCUGUGUUGUUUUUCUCUGGAAUAUAUCUCCAGAGUACUUAGCUGAAAGUUAUGAGUCAGAAAAAUCCCAUUUCUCAUAAAUUCUCCUCUAGAUUAGAAACAAAAAAGAAAUCAGCUCAUUGGAAUUUUGAUUAAUGAGAAAAGGAGAAAGGUUUAAGGGUGAGUGCUUUGUUCCAUUGAUGUCCAUGAAAUGUAGGCCUGACACAUUCUAGUCCAAAGCAAUUGAAAAUCAUUUUAACUUUACUUUGUUUUGAGAGGCUUAGGGCUUAUUGAAUUGAGAGAAAUUGGACUGAAACAAGUAAUUUUUUUGACACAGGCUGCUAAACAGCUUGGAGACCAAGAGCCAUAAGGCCCUGGGCAGGUCAUUUAGUACAGAGUGUUGCCUUUCUCGGGAGAUGCUUUCUUCUCAAAUAAGUAUACUGAGGAACACAUCUUAGUGAUAUUCCAAGUUUUCUUUUAUAUGUCUUUAUAUUUACAAAGAGCAGCUCAUGGCAAUGAAGUUUUUGCCUCCCUCACAAUUAACAAUAACCAUCCAAUUGAGAUGAUUAUGGUCAGAGAAGAUGUAGUUGUAACCCUAUUUAGAACAGGGAGAAGAAUUCCCUGAUUCCAAUUCAAGUUUAUGAAUUCCUAUUCUGGAAAAUAUUAUGCAUUCUUUUUGAAAACCUAAGAGAAUUGUGAUUUCAUGGGACUUUUAAUUUUAGUGAUCCCAUGAAGAUGAGAAACUAUUCCUUCAUUUAACCUGCAUUUUCAUAUAAGCAUAAGGCCUCAGAUUUUUAUUUGCACACUUCCAUUUAUUUAAAAUACAUAUUUCUGAUAUUUAAAGCUCUGUAAUGAAACCAAUUUUUCAAGUUUUUUCUUCUUUUUCUGAUAUUAUAAUUAAAUUACUAAAUUACUUUCUGAUUCAACUUGCCUUAGGACAUUUGAUUUUCUAUGAUCCUUUAAAGGUUUCAUUUUUUAUUAAGUAAUAUUUAUAAACUGUCCACAUUGAUUUCUAUUGUGGGGCUCCUGUGAUGCUCUUCCUUGAAAAGUAUAAUGUUGUAUCUCUUUAGUCCUUUUGGAUUUAUUUCCCUUUAUAUUUAAAAAUAUACAAAUCAACAAUCCAGUUUGCUAAUCUUUUUAUAUUCCCUUUUGGAGUAAACUAAAAUGUGUGUGUAUAUAUACAUAUAUGUAUAUAUAUGUAUAUAUACACACAUACAUAUAUAUAAUUCUAAUGUAUAUUCCAAUAAUUAUAUUCCACUGUAUAUAUCCCAAUAAUUAGUUAAUUAAUAUAGUACAUUUUAUGGUGCCAAGACAUUUCAUACAGCACCUUAUGAACCACAUUCAUUUUUACUCAUUGAGGGGUUUUUUUACUUGUUUUUUAAUCAUCUAAAUGUAUUUUCUUCUUUGUUCCUUUUCCAAUUUUAUUACUUCAAAAUCCUCAUUUUCCUGCAAUUGAGGAAAACACUCCUUCCAUCAUUUUUUUAAACAUAAAAUGAUAUAAUAAGCAUUAUUUUCAGCUUACGUUUUCUUGAGUCUCAGAUUAAUUUCCUGAUAGUGUUUAUUCUGGGCUCAAAUCUUAACCCAUGAUAUCAUAAAAAAGUUCUAUAUCAUAGAACUUAGCCAAGAAAUUUAAUAACUCAGACACUCGAGUUCUUAAUCUGGUAUAUGAGCUUAAGAAUGAUCUAUAGGGUUUGUGGAAGUUUUAAAUGAGACAAUACAUAUCCAGUGCUUAAGAAAUACCAUUGUAAUCCCUCAGUAAACAGCAGAUUUUGCCCUCUUCCUAGGCUCUAGGAUUGAUUUACAGACUGACCCUGAAAUAAAAUGUUUUUAAGCUCACUUCAUUUGAAUAAAAUUUGUGAUAAAACAAUUUUGUUUGUGGCAUUCUGCACAGCACAGUUCUUAUUAAGGAAAAUAAGGUAUUAAUUCUGCUCUCAAGGAACUUUUGGACUGAAAUGCUAACUAACUUCUUGUGAUACACACAGGAUCAAAAUAUGCAGAAGAAGGAAGUGCUGCAGGAGAGGGAGUAAUUCAGCACCAUGAUCACCACGGGGGAUGGGAAACUAAGGGAGUGUCUUGACCAAGUUUGAGAAGAAUGAAUACAUGUGUAGCAGAAAUCAAGGACUGCAGAGGGAUGAAUAUUCCAAGUUAAUCAGCACCACAUUUCAAGUAUACGUAUAAAGUCAUGUAAUAUAGAAAUUUUACAUGUCAUAUGAAACAUUAUAAUCUAAAUUUUAGCAGGACAUGUAGAAAAUAUAUGCAGCUAUAUAAUUACUGGCGUAAGUGUGUCUUGAGGUAAAUAUUCUCUAUUUUAAAAGUAUAUGCUGUAUUUUAGAUACUAGGAAAGAAACUUUAUUAGUUUAUGAUUUUAUUUGUACUAGUCUCUUUAGAAAAAGACAAUAUAUGCUCAUGAUAAAAAAAAGUCUACUUUUGCACAGAAAAGUAUAAAGUAUAAAUUGCAGUUAACUUUGGCCAUCUUACCUUCACUUUGAAGUAUUUGUCUCUCUUAAACAUUUUUCAUUUGACUUGUAGCAAUUCUAACUGAAUAUGAAAAUCUGUACCAGGAUUCCCCUACUAGGCAAAUCACUGUGGAAUUUAGGCAACAUGAUAUUUUAAACUUUUGAAAAUUGAAUUUGAAUGCAUUUAGGUAUGAAAUCCAUUCCACAAUUCACAGCUACCACUUUAAUUUAGCUUCCAUAAACAUAGAUAGCACUUGCUUGGUUUUUGAAGGGUAACAGUUGAAUUUUGACUCCCGGAAUACACUCCAAGAUUAGCCUGUGUAUGUGUGUGUGUGUGUGUGUGCAUGUGUGUAUGCACAAAUAUGUAUUUCUCAUAAAAAUCAUGUUACACUUACUGUAUUCCACCUUGCUGUUUUUCUUAUUAAUGCAUGAUGAGCAUUUUUGCAUCCCUACUCUGAUGUUCACAGCCCAGUUGUGGUAUGGCAGUGGAAUAGGUUGUUGAGAGACCAAGAAAGAACAAAGAUGAGAUAUGAGAUGAGCUAUAAGGUUAUUUUUUGUUGUUGUUGUUUGUUUGUUUUUUGGAGAAAUACUAUUGGGGAGAGCCAGUGAUGGUAGAUUAGACAAACAUUUGGCCUAAUCUUUCUUUUCAGAUUAUCAUCUGUUGUUUUUUGUGUUUUGUUUCUUUUUCCAAAUGAAAUAUAAGAAUCAUUUGCAAAAAGAGUUAUACAACUGAUUUGAAUUUUCAUGUUCAAUUCAUAUAUCAAAUUCAUUGAAUUUAAUAAUAGCUUAUAGUACAUUAACAUUUUCAUAACAUUGGCAAUUUAUAUUGAAAAGAGGGUUAUUUAUGUUUUGAUUUUCUUUCAGGAAACCUUUUACAUGUUUUAUUAUUUUUUUAAAAAAAUAUAGUUUCUAUUAGUCUUGUUUUUAGUAUAUUCCACAGAGAAUAAUAGAAUAAAUGUGCUUCUACGUACCCAAUUUUUACCAGACAUCCUGCAUCUGUAUUUUAUUGAGACAAGUUGUUACCUCUCUCAUGGUUUAAUGUGCUUUAAACCCUGGCUUUUACUUUAUUCAGUAUUGUUGGGGUAAUAUGACUGCAGUUUUAUUCCUUGGCUGCUCUUGGUUUGCUUUUCGUUUUUACACUGCAGGGCUCAUGAUUUGCCAUGAUUUCCCCUAUGAAGACCUCUGAAGAUGUCAGACAGAAAACCCUGUGGACUGCCUCAUCAUGUUCAAAUAGCCCAUCUUAUUUCUCUCUUCUGUGUUAAUUUAGAAUGGAUAUCUUUGUAAUGUUUUUAUAUUGUAGUCUUUGAUCUACUGAUACAACACUUCAUAAAAUAUGCAUGGCCAUAUUUAAUAUAAAGGCAUUUGACACUAAUACUAAAGUGCUUUUCCUGAACUUUAGGUGAGAAGAUUAAUAAACCAUCCCACUUUUUUUCCUUUAGGAAUGUAAUAUAAUUUUACAAUAAGGUCCAUUUAAUCAUCUCCUUCUCUCAUGAAAUGACCUUGUGAAAUGAGAGAGAGGUUCUAUCUUUGGUUACAAAUGAGACUGUGAUCUUAAGUUAUUCUCCUGUGCUCAUAAAACUAAGUGAAAAACUACUUAAAAACUAAGUGAAGAGGAGAAUCACUAGGGUAUAGUAUAGUUUUAGAUAGAGAUAAUACCUGGAAGAAAAAGAAUAAAAUUAUACAUUGAUUUAUGAGGUGAGGCCAACAGGCAGUGCACAGGAACAGGGAUACUGUCUACUUUAGAGCCAAGACUGGCUAGAUAUGGAUAUACAAUCUUGAAUUACUCAGGAUCCAGAAGUGCAACUCAAAAUAAAAUAAAUCUCUCUCUCUCUCUCUCUCUCUCUCUCUCUCUCUCUCUCUCUGUAAAUUCUCUAAUUUUGAAUAUUUUCUUAUAGCAAGAGAAAAUAAAUCAAAAUAGAUAAGUUGGGAAGAAAUGCACACAUCUAAAGGGAUAAUGAAAUCUUUUAUAGUAGAGUCAGUAACUCAGGCCAACACCAGUGGCCAAGAAAGAAGGCCACUUGCUGGAUAGAGUACAUUCACUCUAUAUCACACACCGACACACAAACACACAUGCAGUUUUAGUUACACUGUUGACUAAUUUCUUAAAUAUUGAAAAAUUUACACUAUGUUUAGGUAACAUUGACCACCAAAGCUUUUACAAUUUGUUUUUCUCUGUAAUUCCAUGGAUCUUUGCCCAGAUAUCUAUGCAUCUGUUGCAUGUCUCAUUAUUACCUUUUUAAAUUAUCUAUCUCUUGCAUGGGCCUAUAAUCCCAAGAGCUCUGGAGGCUGACGCAGGAGAAUUUCAAGGUUAAGGUCAGCCUCAGCAAUUUAGUGAGGAUUUAAUCGACUUAAAGAGACCCUGUCUCAAAUUAAAAAAUAAAAAAAGGGCUGAAAAUGUGUCUCAGUGGUAAAGCACCCCUGGGUUUAAUCCUUUGUACCAAAUAAUUUUAAAAAAUUAAAAAUUAAUAAAUUUUGUCUCUUUCUGUGAGUCACAAACUUCUUGAGGAGAAAGACCUGUGUAAUUUAAAAUUAUACAGAUAAUUCAAUUACUUUUUACUUAUAAUCAAUAAGUAGAUGCAUGGUUACAAGAAAAAUGUUAUAUUAGUUCAGAAGAUCAAGAAAACAGAAAAAUCGGUGAAACAGAUUAUCAGACACCAGAAUUGUUAAAAUUGUUUAUUGGGUAACUUUUAAUGUUCUUUGAAAAUGUGUAUGGUGUAACAUGUUAGACUUAACCACAGUGAUUUUCCUGUUACUGCAAAUCUAAUUUAUGUUGGAUUUCAACUGAUAAUGAUGCUUAAAAGUGCAAGAGAUGGUAUCAGUCUUUUCAGUAUUUUGUUGAGAAAGAAAAACAUUCAUUUUAAAUGAAUGCUUUGACCUACAGGUAUUUUUGUAUCCAAAAGAUGCAAUGGCAUCUCUUAGAUAAGAUUUGCCCUUUUGUUGCAUGUAAUAUUUAUAUACUCUGUAGGUACUAGAGAUUCAGAAACUUAAUUAUAAUUUUUUUCCUUGCAGAAACUCCUCUUUACAUUAUGAAUAAUUCACUAUUCUUACUUCUUUGAACUCAAUUGUAGAACUGAACAUUGGCUAAUUUUUCAAUUCUACUUUUCUCUCAAGUGAAAUUAAACAAAAAUAAAUAAAUAAAUAAAUAAAUAAGAACUGAUCAGAAAACUAAUGACUUUAGAUGAGUAUAAUUUCAUGUAAAUUCUGAAAGAUUUGGUGAUUGAUAUUGAUUUCUACUUCAUUGUUCAUUUCCUCUUGUUACAACAAUCUAGUUCCAAAUGUGACAAAAUGGCACUUUCGUUGCUACACCUGCAAAUUUUAUAAAGUUUGUUAAAACUUUGGGUAGAUUAAGAAAUAAAGGGUAAAAUUACUAAACAAAAAUCAUAUUCAUUACAAAAUUGCAUUUCCAGUUCUGUAGUACUGAAUUUACCUGUUUAAAAAAUUGACCUGCUAGCAUAUUUGAUCAUGUACUAAAAAAGAAAAUACCCCUAAAAGGAGAAAUAAUAUAAACAAUGAAGUGAAAAAACAGGUAGAAUCAUAUUUAUUUUUAAUUUAUUUAGUAUCCCAGGUGCCAAUAGCAGAGACUUAUCAUCAUAAGUAAGCUUUUAACUAAUAUUCAGAUAAUUUUUAAGUGUUUUUAUAAGAAUCUUUUUUGGAUUCUAAAUCAUAUGCUACUGUAAGGAAAGUUUAUUAUCCCCAUGUUAGAAGCGAGUCAAAUAAAAUAGCAAAAGUUAAAUAAUCAAGAAAAUAUAGCUGAAAAUGAAUUGGUUUUUCAACUCAUUGCUUUUACAGCCUCCUCCGAAGUGCUCUAUAGAUAUCU
This 6676-nucleotide long non-coding RNA is filed under the name Marmota monax (woodchuck). The record is from RNAcentral. Lineage: Eukaryota; Metazoa; Chordata; Mammalia; Rodentia; Sciuridae.